Molecule: long non-coding RNA, 2435 nt
Organism: Gallus gallus (chicken)
Lineage: Eukaryota; Metazoa; Chordata; Aves; Galliformes; Phasianidae
Exons: 4
Source: RefSeq, a predicted model, not a curated record
AUGUUUAAUGAUCUCAUUUUGUUUCAUAAUGCCUUUUGAAAAGGUUUCAGUGUGCAGUCUGCUGAUCCGAAAGAAAGAAGGCGGCUUUUGGAGGACUUGAUCAUCGCGAGUCGAGCUGCUGCUGAACCUCCCCUUCCAACAUCCAGCAGGUUUGUUCUGCAGGCCCCGAUGAUGGCACAGGCAUGAAAGAGCCCAGAGCUCGUCGCUGGGGAGAGGCUGCGUAUGGCGUUGUGAAGGGAGAGAUGGAGGAGGGGUUUGAGCAGCGCUGUGCAGGAAUGAACGGCUGGUAAGAGAAGAGCUGACUUGGAUUUCUUCUGCCACUGUCCCGUGAAGGAGUUGAUUUGCUUCAGUCCAUCCCUGCUCUAUUUGUGGUUCAAGCCAAGCUCCAGUCCCUUCCCCGGUCUCAGUGGGAUCAGUUUGUUCUGUUCUCAUCCACGUACAGAAACAGAAGCUACCAACCCACCAAACCCUGGGACAGGUAUUUCCCUACAGAAGCAUUCAUGUCCUUCUGCUGGCCCUUUGCCCAAUUCCCAGCUCCCCAAACUGAGGCGUACGGCUGAAGCCCACCCCAUGGCUUCUUUGGGGCAGCAGUCGGGCAGCCCCACCCCGAGGAGGAGAUGCCUUUUCCCUGCAUGCAGCUGGUUCUACGUACACAUGGGGUGAGGAGUGGGGCGUGAGUCACAUGGGGGUCCUGCAGGGUCACAGAGUUAGGGGUUGAUGUCGGACUAUGGGGUCAGAUUGCGUUCAGGAUCACAGUGAUGGGGUUAGAUAAGGUGGUAGGGUCAGAUGGGGUGACAUGGAGUUACGGAUCACAUGGGUUGUAUGGUCGGGGUGAGGUGGGGGCAGGGAUCCCAGAGUUAUGGGCCACAUGGCGUUGGGUUGCAGCGUGAUGGGGGCAGGCAGAGUCAGGGAGUCACAGGGUCACGUGGGGGUAUUGUUCCCCCAGGGCUGUGGGUCACAUGCAGCCAUGGGGUCACGCACAUAGAGGGCGAUGAGGUCAUCUUGGGUUAUGGCUCAUGUGGGGUUACGGCUCAGGGCCCCACCUUUGGGCCACAGGGACCCCCAGUCUCCUCUCUGGAUGAAAUGAAACCACUCCAACACUGCCCCACACUCCCUCUCCUCUUUUUACCUUAAACCGCUCCCCACAUACUCCCAUACCCCCUACGUCUCCAUACUACCCCAUGCCCCUGUGUCCCUCCUGCAGACAUCUUGUUUUCUCCUGAACAGCGUUCUGCUCCUGCAGCCCGUUUCUCCAUAUCCCCCAAUGUCCCAAUGUCCCCCACAAACCACCAUAGCUCCUCAAGGACCUUCUCCCGGUACACCUCCCCCCAGCAACCAGGGACCUCACAGAGCACCACAGUACCCAGCAGCACCCCACGGCCCUAACUGGGCUCCCACUGAACCCCCCUGUUUUCUCCCUCAGACCUCCCUUACCCUCUUAGCCCCCCCAGGUUCUCAGACUCCCACAGUCCCUGACAGGACCCCCAUAACCAUACCAGGACACCCAUAGCCCACCAACGAGGAACCCUGCAGCAAUCCACAUCUCCGGAUGGUGCUCCAGCUGUGCACCAAUGCGUUCAUUCAAGAGAGGAGAAUGGAUGAGCGUAAUGGGGCGCCUCUCCUCCUGACAUUGCCCACCGCCUGCGUGUUGGCUGUGCCGUGCCAGCAGCAUUUUGUCCUUGAACUGUGAGUGCAGAAAACGCCGUCCUUUUGCUGAACUUUGCUCAUUGUACACCCGUCAUCACAGCAAAAAACGCUCAGUGCUGCCCUGGGAAACUCAGCAAUCUCCACAGCAUUGCUCUCCAAGUUAGCACGCUCAUGGCCAGGCUUUGUUCCCAGCAGCUCUUUGCACGUGCUUUGCAGACAGUCUGUUUGUGGGCAGUGCAAAGGACUGCUGCAUCCAUUGCAUCACUGGACGGCAGCAUUUGCUGACGGAGCUAUGGCAGUUCUGAGCGAGCGCCGCGAGACCAAUAACGAGGAGGUGGUGCAGCAGCUCUCCGAGUGCCGCUGGACAAAUCAGGCCGUGCGCUCUUUGUGAAUCUAUAAAUUUGACUGGUGUUUAAUGACUACGUUUGAAGGUGGAGUGCUGAGAUGGGCGGCACUCAGUGCUGCCCUGUAACGCCGCGCACUGCAGAAGCUGCUUCCUGCUUAUGCUCCUCCUCUCAGUCCUUCAGCUGCAGCUUCUGCAUCAUCUCCACAAGGCUGUCCACUGCGGAGGCCUGGGAAGAAACGGAGUGAGGGUAGAAACAGGACACCACUUCCCUCGGGAUUUUACAGUCUCUUCCUUUCAUGUGUGACAGACAGAGGCCCUGAGAACAACAAGAGCCGUGUCUGUGUUCACCAAGGACUCACCUCUGCACGUGCAGCAGCAGCUCUGAGGGCAGCCUUCUUCAGCUCCACUCUCCUCUCUUUCUGUCGCUGUCUUCUUGCUAUAA